Molecule: ribosomal RNA, 478 nt
Filed under: uncultured organism
Description: partial 16S ribosomal RNA
Rfam family: Bacterial small subunit ribosomal RNA
Source: RNAcentral
GUACACUCCUGCGGGAGGCAGCAGUGGGGAAUUUUGGACAAUGGGCGAAAGCCUGAUCCAGCAAUGCCGCGUGAGUGAAGAAGGCCUUCGGGUUGUAAAGCUCUUUUGUCAGGGAAGAAACGGUGAGAGCUAAUAUCUCUUGCUAAUGACGGUACCUGAAGAAUAAGCACCGGCUAACUACGUGCCAGCAGCCGCGGUAAUACGUAGGGUGCAAGCGUUAAUCGGAAUUACUGGGCGUAAAGCGUGCGCAGGCGGUUUUGUAAGUCUGAUGUGAAAUCCCCGGGCUCAACCUGGGAAUUGCAUUGGAGACUGCAAGGCUAGAAUCUGGCAGAGGGGGGUAGAAUUCCACGUGUAGCAGUGAAAUGCGUAGAUAUGUGGAGGAACACCGAUGGCGAAGGCAGCCCCCUGGGUCAAGAUUGACGCUCAUGCACGAAAGCGUGGGGAGCAAACAGGAUUAGAUACCCCUGUAGUCCCAUGA